CUUAGGCGGUCGGCUGAACUUCAAAUAAAUUUUGCCCCGAUGAAGAUGAUAAAGUGGAUGGCGACCAUUGAAGCCAGAGUUCUUAAAUUCACUUGGCGGAUUGCGAGGACGGCUCCUUCCAACCGAACAUUCUUUGGACGUUUGGCCAUUUGGCUUUAUUGCGCGUUCAAAGAGAAGGGGAUUUCGAAUUCGCUCAAAUGUUGAACGGUACAGAACAAAGCAACGGUGUUGAAUGAAGCAUCCACUAGGUAUUAUCGCAACGCAGCAGCAAGUACUAGUACCUACGCGGUUUUAUAACAAAGCUUUAGCGCAUUUAUUAAACAACAAAUUAGUUGUACACAAUUCGAACGCUAAAUAAAAUCAAUGCGAAAUGCCAACCGGA
Molecule: long non-coding RNA, 382 nt
Organism: Rhagoletis pomonella (apple maggot)
Lineage: Eukaryota; Metazoa; Arthropoda; Insecta; Diptera; Tephritidae
Exons: 2
Source: RefSeq, a predicted model, not a curated record